Molecule: non-coding RNA, 89 nt
Organism: Lagothrix lagotricha (brown woolly monkey)
Lineage: Eukaryota; Metazoa; Chordata; Mammalia; Primates; Atelidae
Source: Rfam
GUCAGCAGUGCCUUAGCAGCACGUAAAUAUUGGCGCUAAGAUUCUAAAAUUAUCUCCAGUAUUAACUGUGCUGCUGAAGUAAGGUUGGC